RNAcentral lists this long non-coding RNA (6200 nucleotides) under Hordeum vulgare. Its description in RNAcentral is "long non-coding RNA (HVUL_LNC021706)". The record is from RNAcentral. Lineage: Eukaryota; Viridiplantae; Streptophyta; Magnoliopsida; Poales; Poaceae.
CUCUUUAUGAUGCUACGGACGGCUGUCCGAAGUGCAUGCAAUGACGGGCUCGGAUAGGAUAGGAUUGUGCGCGCCGGGCCCUUCGGGUGUCCAUAUUUUGGCCGACCUUAGCGUAUAUACUAUGUUAUGCGGCCGUAAUAUUUUGAUACCUUCCACCGCUGUUACGCCAGAAAUCCAAGGUUCCACACGAGCUCCUGUUCUGCGGCGUGGUGGCAGGACCGCUAGGGGAUUGGCUCCGGGUGUAGGUAGGGUCAAAUCCGCAGGGGUCAUGCAAAUACAUAGGCCCCUUCCCUUCUGCCGAGUUGUUUAGAAGGCGCUUUCCGUUCUACGGUCCCUCGGAGCGAAGGGUUAGGCAGGUAGUACGGGCCCUCUGACUUCCAGCUAUGUGCUGUGUGCGACUCCCGCGAAGCGAAUGAAGGGAAGCUCUUCGAGCUUUCUCCGCCAGCGGCUUAUGUAGUGGUCGGCAUUCCUACGUGCUCCGACUGAUCCCCACUGGAGAUUAUAUGAGGGGUCUUGGAAACUGUCGUGACGCUUUGGUGACGAAGGUCACCGGGGUGACUAUGGAAGGAUUCCGUGGUAGUCUCUGACUCCCUCCAACUCAAUCAAUAUCAAGAACAUGUCGUGAGCAUGGGGGUUUGGCCGACUACUAAACUAGACUAUUGGCUAGGGCUUUUCUAGUUAUAGCUUCUAUAGUGAGUGGCCCUUCCGCUUUGAUCUAGUUGUAGUUUGUAUUGUACUAAAUUGAACACAUAUCAAAGAAAGGCGAUCAAUCAAUAAGUAGUUGCCCUUCUCCGGCCUGGGAAAAGCAGCGAACUCGUUAAACUAGGGGCUUUUUUAUUCAUGGUCGCUACUGUUGUAUUGUAUAUUGUCGGGGGAAGCUACUGCUUUUACGACAGCUCCGCUUCCUCGUCUUGCUUCUACUUUGCUUGUUUGCGCGAAGGCUUAGAGUCCUUUUCGCUAGGUCCAAAUUCGUCAAAGCGAAAGAUCUGAUCCAACGGAAAUCCCGCAUAUUGAGCGCAGCUGAUAUGUGGCUACUAGGCGCGAUCAUCCCGCAUGCCAUAAAAUAAAUACUUCUUUUUUUUAUGGCCCGUCAUAUAAAGAUAGAAUAGAUAUGGAUAGAGAGACAUUCUAUUGAUUCGCGAAAUGGCUCGUCGAUCCAAAUGAAUCAUUCUUCUGGUCUCUCUCUGCCCCCCCGCCCCAAAACUGACCCACGACACAGCGCCCAUUCGUUUCGCGCGCGGGAAGGCAACGAAGUUCAGUUCAAAAGACCGCAGCGGAGUGGAGCAGCCGCGACACGAAGUUCCUUACCUUAGCUGGAUCUCGCUGGUGCCACCUAAACGGUAGGUAUAGGCGGCGGAUGUCUGACGUUUGGAGUUGUCGUUCGUGCACCUGUCCCCAAUAGAAGAAUGAGUGAUCCCUUCCCCUGCGGAUCAUGGCCUUACCACUAGGUCCCCGAUGGCCAGCGGGGGAUUCGGUAUAGCAGCUCACGUUCGUUUGCGCUUCGCGUUCCCGCUGGACUGGACACGUGUUAGCUGUAGGAAGUAUGGUUACGAAAGUGACUUCGGUUCGCCAGUUCAGGCUCAACUCCUCGCUUUACGUUAGCGGACUUACAGGUCGGGCCGGGGCUCCACGCUCUUUCUUUCUGUGUGGGACGAUGCCGGGGAAUGUGUCGAGGCGGCGAACAACAACAAGACAACUAACUACAUUUGCUUUUUCCCUCCAUGAGAUGAGCCAGUGCAUUGGACCGAUGGAUAAUAGAACUGAGCUGGCCAAACGCUUGGGCGCUCUACAUACGAUGUAGAAAAAAUCAGAUACAUAUCGAUUUCUUUCUGAUGGAUCCAGAAUAGAUAGAUAUCUUGUAUCAUCAAUAGAUAGAAAGAGGUCAACCCUUAUUAUUGAUAGAAAACCUUUCGAUCUAUCAGAACAGAUCAGGCCAUCUAUCAAUCGAUUUGAAUCAUCUCGCUUUUCGUUCAUUUCAGCCACGCCAUAAUAGCCGCCACAAUAAGAAAGAAGCAAGCGAAACAGCUAGAAGCGCUCGCUUCGCCGCGCCCAACAAUUCUUAUUCACGGGAAAGCCAACCGAAAGAUUCGAUUCGGACUUCGUAGAGCCGGUGCUGCUGCUGUCUGCGUAGGGCCGUCCCCCACUCCCGUCCCGGGGCGCUAAGGGGUUUUGUUUUAGGAACAGACGGCGGUGUUUUGCUGACGCCUCGAAUCGACGCUUUUGUUGCGACAUGCUAAGUUUUCUCCCCUAUUGCUAGUAGGUUGAUGGGUCGCACGCCCGGCACACAUGUUUUGGCCUUGCUUGUGUGUCCAUAACUCAAAAUAGGUGACCUAACGGCCGCCGCCCGACUAAACAUACCAAUAGUCACCAAAUUCAUAUGGGCUACUGAGGAGUAGGCAAUGAUCUUCUUAAGAUCGAUCUGUCUUAAAGUGGUCAAGGAAGUAUAUAUUAUAGCAAUCGCGCUUAGAGUAUAAAUGAAAGGAGUGAAACAAAGUGUCGCUUCGGGAAACAUGGGUAUUGAAAAUCUUAAAAACCCGUAGGUUCCCAAUUUUAAAAGAAUUCCAGCCAAGAUGACGGAUCCAGCCGUAGGUGCCUCUACAUGGGCUUCGGGUAACCAAAUAUGAACUGGUACCAUAGGCACUUUGACGGCAAAAGAGGCGAAAAAAGCAAUCCAUAGAAGGAUUUGGCGCCGCUCACUAAAUUCAGUGGUUAAUAAAAUUUGUAAAUCGGUGGUUCCUGUUUGGAGAAGAAUCAACAGAAUAGCUAAUAGCAUAAAAACGGAUCCAAGUAAAGUAUAUAGGAAAAACUGAUAUGCUGCCUUGAUCUUUCUUUGUCUCGAACCCCAUACCCCUAUAAUGAUGGUAGAGUCAGGGGUGGCCCCAAAGCGGAAUUGACCGGUGGUAGUUGGUCGAAGCUCCAGUGGGUAGCCACUCCCUUCUCAGGGAACCGUACGUGAGACUUCCGCAUCAUACGGCUCCGUCCCGAGCUUCCGUCGUCGGCCCUUGUCAUUAGACCACUAUGCUUGUCUUUUCCGCCUUGACUCUCGAAUCUUUUGCUUCUCGGGUGGUGGCGAACAAUGCUGCUUGCGUAGCGGGAGAUGCCCGCCCGUCGUUUAGGCCUGCUUCCUGCCCGAAAGAAGGCUAGCCGGACUAGUGGUAGGGGACCCGACCGUAAAAAACCCUACCCUAUUCUCGAACCCUCUGCCGAGCUCUACCCUGCCCGCAUUUAUUUGGAAGGGGGCCAAAGAAAUGUCUCCACCUGCUGCCAACAGUCUUUCUUCGGAAUUCUACUGAACGGGUCGAUCCUCCCCUCCGUUUGUUUUAGCAACUUAUCCUAAGGUCUCUUCGCCAAGAACUCUCCGGCAACGACAGAGGAACUAACCUGCCUGCAGUGGCGGGGCGGCUUUUUUUUUUUGAAAUAAGACCUGGACGAUUAUCCCUACCCUCGGUAGCUUACGAGUUUACGUCCAUCCCUGGUCGGGUACAGUUUCCUUUAUUUUUAUCCCUUGUAGCCGUUACCCGAAUUCGCGCAAGUGUGUCCACACCCCCCCUGACUUGACGAGGAAUCCAUUCUCGCGAACAAACACACCCCCUACACACACCUAGGAGCACCCCUUCCUGCAUAUCCAUACAAGACCUGAGUAGGCGGGUCGAGGUCCUACGAGGUACCCACUACUCGGAGUACCCUCCCACCAAAAAAAGAUGUGUGGUUCGGUGGUUCGACCAGAAAUGCUAUGCUUACGCACAAGACUACCCCUCUUCCCGAAAGCUUCGCGGGGACCUUUACUACUUUACGACGACGGGGGACCGCCCGUAGGGGGUUUACUGCACAAGGCCCCUGCAGAGGAAAAGCUUGAUCCCAGCGAAUAGAAGAUGCUCAGCUCCGCACAACAUAGGGAUUGGCACGCUUUCGGAAAGAACAUAGAAUAGUAGAGGAUCCAGCAUGCAGGACACGGCGAUCAUUAGAAAUUCACGAAUUAGAAAUGCUGUAAUAUACUCUUUCCCAAAACUUCUCAUACCAGACCAACCCACUGAAAUGCAAAUAGGGAUCAGAAAUGUGGUCAAUAUCACGAAGAAUAAUGAAAGACCGUCUAUACCCAUAUACAAAUGGAUGUUUUCAUAAGGAAGCCAUCGAAGGCUUUCCACAAAUUGAGAUUUGGCCGUAGAAGGAUCGAAUUGUAUCCGAGGAACAGGGGGAUACAAAAAAGUAAUAAGAGAAACGCACAGACCAAUCAAUCGUAUCGGUCUUAUUGAAGAAUUUGGAAUGAAAAGAGGAGUAAUGCUUCCUAGCACGGGACAGAGAAUAGGACCACUUAGAUCGAAAUAGCAUUCACAGAAAUGUUCUAACAUAGAGUAGAAUUGAACAUUGAAAAGAUUAGUUGACAACAGUCAAUCAAAAGAUGGGGCGCCAAAUUACUAAACAAUAGGGGUCUUUCUGUGCAAGUCAGCUGAACACCGUAAUUGAUGAGUGAGUAGGUGGGUUAGGUGCACCCCUCGCCCAGUGGGAAGUCAUGAGGCUAGCCCCCCCCCCUGAAUGAAGAAGUAGUGGGGCCCCCUGCCCGCCCACGUAUGCGCCUUUAUUUAGAUUCUAACUAAAUAUUAUACUGAACUUUAUCCGGGAAUCUUUCUAAAGAAUCCAUCUGGCAAAACGAAAUUUGUCGAUUUCAAUCUAAGGUGCACCUUGCCUUUUUCAGGUAGCUUUGUUACGCCUAUUCAGCUAGGUGGGGCAUUGGUCAUAGCCGAAGUCGAAGGGAAAAAAUAAGGUAAUGAGAUGAUGGUGCCAUCAAGAAGUUUUCGACGAACGUAGUAGCGGCCAAAAAUGAAACUCUUGCAUGAAAGACCGGAUUUGACGCAAGAUGAAUGGCGUUGGGGUUUUUCAAAUGAAACCCGCGAUCAGAAAGUCACCAACGGAGCCAUACAAUCUAUCUAGUAGUGUGCCAUGGCACGGUACUCCGCUUCGGCAGUGGAAGGAGCAACUGUCUAUUGCUUUUAUCUCAUCCAAGAUAGUGUCUCGUCUCCCCAUAAAAUAGAUAAGCCUGUAGUUGAGCACCUAUCUGAAGGCCCAAUCGGCAUCAGUAGUUGCACGCAACUCUAAAGAAGACGAUGACGGAAAAAAGGACGGCUCGAGAAAAGGUACCUCGAAUAUAUCUAAGAAUCCGAUGAACUGCUGCAAAGUGAACUGACCGGGGGGCAGCCAUGAAAGGCUGACUUUCUUAGGAAAAGCCAUCUGGGCAAGAGAUCGUCAGAUAAACCAAACUGCCGACCUACUGUCUGUACUGCGUCGGAUCAGAUAAUGGUGAGCCAUCAGUCGGACGGAGUUUAACGUAAAGCUCCAAGGGAGUGUCAACAGUCUUCUCAUCAUUGAGUUGAGCUCGAGUGAUCAAGUCAUGACGUUAUUUGAUCUGAGAUACCAAAUAUCCACGAGGAGAAUGUGCGACCUCCAAGCCAAGAAAAGGCUUAGGGCGCGUCAGCGCCUUCAUAGCAAAUAAUUGAUGAAGGCGACACUUGAUCAGCGAUAUGGUAACGGAGUAAUCACCAGUCAGUUUGAUAUCAUCAACAUACAACAACAGAAUAGCACGUCCUCGAGGAUAAACUGAUACGAACAUGGCCGAAUCAUGAUCACUCCGAGCAAACCCUGCCUGGAUAACAUAACCACUGUGCUGAACUUCAAAAACCGACGCUAUCGGGGCUUGUUGAGACCAUAGAUCGCUUUGCGUAAAGGACAGACAAGAGAAGAAGUCAGAAGGGCAGGUUCUCUUUCAUCCGUCUUUUCUAGGUGCGCAUCUCCAUCUACUAAAAGUAGGGGUGGUUGCCAUAGAUAGAUUGGGUCAUUCGUAACCUGAGCAAUAACCGAUGCUACUACAGCAAUAACGGAAAUAACCGAUGCUACAGCAGAAACUACAGCUAUACGUGGCGGCCCCACACGCAGCUUUGUUUAACAAGCAUCACCCUUCCUUUCUUUUCAAAUGCUUCCUCAGUCAAUCAGCAGCUUAUUCGAUUCCUAUUCUUAUUAAACAUCUGAUAUAGAUGGUGGGAACAAUGAAGCAGAUUCUUCAUCUGUAGGUUGCAAUCCGUAUGAUUUCUUUUCUCGAUCUCCUGCUUGUGUUUCACCUCGCACCUAAGCAUCACGUUCCUAGGGACAGAGACAUCUGCGCUCUAAGGCAAUCAUAGUACUACCAGCAUGGUUACAUCGUUCUGCNN